UUAAUUCGAUGCAACGCGAAGAACCUUACCUGGUCUUGACAUCCACAGAACUUUCCAGAGAUGGAUUGGUGCCUUCGGGAACUGUGAGACAGGUGCUGCAUGGCUGUCGUCAGCUCGUGUUGUGAAAUGUUGGGUUAAGUCCCGCAACGAGCGCAACCCUUAUCCUUUGUUGCCAGCGAUUAGGUCGGGAACUCAAAGGAGACUGCCAGUGAUAAACUGGAGGAAGGUGGGGAUGACGUCAAGUCAUCAUGGCCCUUACGACCAGGGCUACACACGUGCUACAAUGGCGCAUACAAAGAGAAGCGACCUCGCGAGAGCAAGCGGACCUCAUAAAGUGCGUCGUAGUCCGGAUUGGAGUCUGCAACUCGACUCCAUGAAGUCGGAAUCGCUAGUAAUCGUGGAUCAGAAUGCCACGGUGAAUACGUUCCCGGGCCUUGUACACACCGCCCGUCACACCAUGGGAGUGGGUUGCAAAAGAAGUAGGUAGCUUAACCUUCGGGAGGGCGCUUACCACUUUGUGAUUCAUGACUGGGGUGAAGUCGUAACAAGGUAACCGUAGGGGAACCUGCGGUUGGA
This 576-nucleotide ribosomal RNA is filed under the name Salmonella enterica. RNAcentral describes it as "bacterial SSU rRNA". It matches the Rfam family "Bacterial small subunit ribosomal RNA", at positions 946 to 1522 of the family's 1533-position model. The record is from RNAcentral. RNAcentral also lists the same sequence under 2 other names. Lineage: Bacteria; Pseudomonadati; Pseudomonadota; Gammaproteobacteria; Enterobacterales; Enterobacteriaceae.